This 350-nucleotide long non-coding RNA is filed under the name Malus domestica (apple). RNAcentral describes it as "long non-coding RNA (MDOM_LNC015218)". Lineage: Eukaryota; Viridiplantae; Streptophyta; Magnoliopsida; Rosales; Rosaceae. The record is from RNAcentral.
UAAGUUUCAUGCAAAUCAUAGUAACGAGUGCCUCGUCAAUGCUUAUGUUUUUCAUAGAACUUAAUGAUUCUUGAUUGUAUCUCUAUUAUGCAAUUCAUGUAGGGAACUUGUAGGGAAUGUUUUGGGUUGUCGUAUGCAAUCAUCCAAUCUAAUAACUUGUUGAAAAACUAAGAGUUAAUUAGUGCAAUUCACGGUUAAUUUAGGGCGUUGAGUAUUCAUAACUUAUCGAAGAGCAAUUGGAAAUCAUUUUGUAUGCAAGCAAGACAUGUGUGGAGAAAAACCCCUUAGCUAGCCUUCCAUUAUCCAUUCAACCCAAAUUUGUUUAAAAUCUAUUUAAGUUUUUAGUUUAU